GGGGGUGACUGGUUUCGACAGGGUAUGUCUGAGACGGUAAGCAGGCCGUGGUCUCCUCGCCACGUUAAACAGGGGUCCCGUCAAAAUGAAUUGACGACAACAACUCUUUUGAGCCUCAACUGGCUCUCGCCGCAUAACAUAAGUCGGCGCGUCUAACCGGGAUUUCUCUCGCUCCCGGGGCGAUGUCAUCUUAGAGAGGCGCUCGCGUGGACGUAGCUGGUAUGCCACGCGCUAAGAUUGAACCCGCUAGGAAGCCGAACGCGCGUUGCCAGGUGUGAAGCGACCGAAGUCUAACUGGUAACUGAGCUUGGAGAAAGCCGUCAGGGGUAUGCUUUGGACCGGAGUUCGAUUCUCCGCACCUCCACCA
Molecule: transfer-messenger RNA, 367 nt
Filed under: Atopobiaceae
Lineage: Bacteria; Bacillati; Actinomycetota; Coriobacteriia; Coriobacteriales
Also listed under: 1 other name
Description: RUG440 sp017652285 Standard tmRNA
Rfam family: transfer-messenger RNA
About the family: Bacterial tmRNA, also known as 10Sa RNA or SsrA, is named for its dual tRNA and mRNA-like properties. Its role is to liberate the mRNA from a stalled ribosome.
Source: RNAcentral